Molecule: transfer RNA, 93 nt
Organism: Cylindrobasidium torrendii FP15055 ss-10
Lineage: Eukaryota; Fungi; Basidiomycota; Agaricomycetes; Agaricales; Physalacriaceae
Rfam family: tRNA
About the family: Transfer RNA (tRNA) molecules are approximately 80 nucleotides in length.
Source: Rfam
GCCCGUUUAGCUCAGUGGUAGAGCGCGCCACUCGUAUGCUGUGAUGGGUAUGCUGUGAUGGUGAGGUCGGUUGUUCAAUCCAGCCAAUGGGCA